CGGGCCUACACACUGGACUGGCUGGGGACACAAACAAGCUAUGGGUUGGGGCAACCACACUUCCCGUUUCCCACUCCCCCCCUCACUGGGUGGGAAUCGACAGACGACACAUAAGUACACUGCCUAACGCACCCGCAUUCCACCAGGAUUGCCCGACAUUAGACGCCCUGACCGUUAAGCCACCUGACCCUGAGCUGCGGGCAUGGGAACACCCACCCGGACGCACAGGACGGAACAGCACGAUUAGAUUAGAGCCCACACAUAACAAGCACCCAGACACACACGUAAAUGUCAUGGAUACAAGACGUGACCAAACCUACCUGACUCCGAC
Non-coding RNA from Pelobates cultripes (western spadefoot toad), 331 nucleotides. NCBI's taxonomy places the organism in Eukaryota, Metazoa, Chordata, Amphibia, Anura, Pelobatidae. The record is from the annotation of a GenBank genome assembly.